UAGCCUUCCUCCCUUCGAGGUUCUCCGGCACUGGCCGGAGCUAAGAGGGAACGUGGAAAUCUUCGGAUGCGCCACGGCUGCCCCCGCAACUGUGAACAGCCUGUUCUUUCACACGCCACUGCCGACUACGGCGGGAAGGCGAAAGGACGAUCAAGGGCUGUGAGCCAGGAGACCUGCCUCGUGACUGGUUUUCGA
Molecule: non-coding RNA, 195 nt
Filed under: Pseudomonas denitrificans (nom. rej.)
Lineage: Bacteria; Pseudomonadati; Pseudomonadota; Gammaproteobacteria; Pseudomonadales; Pseudomonadaceae
Source: RNAcentral